This 227-nucleotide ribosomal RNA is filed under the name uncultured bacterium. RNAcentral describes it as "partial 16S ribosomal RNA". It matches the Rfam family "Bacterial small subunit ribosomal RNA", at positions 8 to 214 of the family's 1533-position model. The record is from RNAcentral.
AGAGUUUGAUCAUGGCUCAGGAUGAACGCUGGCGGCGUGCCUAACACAUGCAAGUCGAGCGAAGCACUUUACUUCGAUUUCUUCGGAUUGAAAAGUUUUGUGACUGAGCGGCGGACGGGUGAGUAACGCGUGGGUAACCUGCCCCAUACAGGGGGAUAACAGUUAGAAAUGACUGCUAAUACCGCAUAAGACCACAGCACCGCAUGGUGCAGGGGUAAAAACUCCGG